Molecule: RNase P RNA, 390 nt
Filed under: Alphaproteobacteria bacterium
Lineage: Bacteria; Pseudomonadati; Pseudomonadota; Alphaproteobacteria
Description: RNase P RNA component class A
Rfam family: Bacterial RNase P class A
About the family: Ribonuclease P (RNase P) is a ubiquitous endoribonuclease, found in archaea, bacteria and eukarya as well as chloroplasts and mitochondria. Its best characterised activity is the generation of mature 5'-ends of tRNAs by cleaving the 5'-leader elements of precursor-tRNAs.
Source: RNAcentral
UCAGACGGCCGGAUGGUUGCGCUUUGGUUCCAUUGUGGGCCAAGGUGAGGAAAGUCCGGGCUCCACGGGAAGAGGAUGCCGGGUAACGCCCGGCGGGGGCGACCCUAGGGAAAGUGCCGCAGAAAGUAAACCGCCAGAGAGGCGACUCUCUUGGUAAGGGUGAAAGGGUGCGGUAAGAGCGCACCGCGCCUCUGGUAACAGAGGUGGCAGGGUAAACCCCAUUCGGAGCAAGACCAAGCAGAGAUCUCCUUAAGCUUCGGCUUAAUCGUGCCUUCUCGCACGAGGAUCUCGGGUAGGUUGCACGAGGCGAUGGGUAACUAUCGUCCUAGAUGAAUGGCCAUCCUUCCAUUCUAUGGAAGACAGAACCCGGCUUAUAGGCCGUCUGAUACU